This 448-nucleotide ribosomal RNA is filed under the name uncultured bacterium. Its description in RNAcentral is "bacterial SSU rRNA". It matches the Rfam family "Bacterial small subunit ribosomal RNA", at positions 330 to 794 of the family's 1533-position model. The record is from RNAcentral.
UCCAGACUCCUACGGGAGGCAGCAGUGGGGGAUAUUGCACAAUGGGGGGAACCCUGAUACAGCGACGCCGCGUGGGUGAAGGAGUGCUUCGGCAUGUAAAGCCCUAUCGGCAGGGAAGAAGCAAGACGGUACCUGACUAAGAAGCCCCGGCUAACUACGUGCCAGCAGCCGCGGUAAUACGUAGGGGGCAAGCGUUAUCCGGAUUCACUGGGUGUAAAGGGAGCGUAGACGGCGACGCAAGUCUGGAGUGAAAGCCCGGGGCCCAACCCCGGGACUGCUCUGGAAACUACGUCGCUGGAGUACGGGAGGGGCAGGCGGAAUUCCUGGUGUAGCGGUGAAAUGCGUAGAUAUUAGGAGGAACACCAGUGGCGAAGGCGGCCUGCUGGACUGCAACUGACGUUGAGGCUCGAAGGCGUGGGGAGCAAACAGGAUUAGAUACCCCAGUAGC